Taeniopygia guttata (zebra finch) is the source of this 2268-nucleotide non-coding RNA. The record is from RefSeq and is a predicted model, not a curated record. Lineage: Eukaryota; Metazoa; Chordata; Aves; Passeriformes; Estrildidae.
GCUGUGUUCAUGACCCCCUUCCCUCUCUGAAUCUUGUUUAAAACCAGCACUUGCAGAUCUGUGUCCUCUCCCAGCUGCCAAGCAGGGUGUGCCAUGCUGUGCUUCUCUUUGCCCAUGAGCCUGCUCCCUCCUGCCUGCCCUGGUACCAGCCUGUCCAUCAUGGGAAAUUUCAGCUGGUUGUGCACCCCUUGCAAUGGUCCUUAAAGAGCCGUUCCUCAUAGUUUAAUGUGUUUCUGUAAAUGGCAGAGUGAAGUUCUUGGGUGGCAUUUAAUUAGUUUUGCUGUGCCUUCCCUACUCGGCAGAGAUGUGUCAUAAUAGCUGAAGGAUUCAUUAAAAAACAUGUUUUAAUCAGAAAUUCAAAUGCAAACCAAGACAGAACAACAGAGAUCUGAAAACAAAACCAGAAUUUAAAAAAAUGCCCAGAUGAGACUCAGUGCCACAGGUGCUGCUGUUAGAGGCAAACCAGGGAACUGCUCUGGUCAGCCAGGAGCCCCAGCUCUGACCCAGCCCGUGCUGGCUGGCACAGUUAAUCCUCUGGAGAUGCUGGGAAGGGCUUGGCCAGGCUUCUCCACAGGCUCCCAGUGGCUGUGUAAACUGGUGCCACAUUAGGGUGAGCUUGGUGCCUGUUGUCAUUUGCUGAAGCGUGUUUGUCACACCUUGUGCUGAGCCAGAGUUUGAGCUGUGACCACUGUCAAGGUGCCCUGAGCAAACCUGUGUGGUUUCUGCACAGAAAGGGGUUUGUCUUUCCAAGGCUUCCCAGGACUUCCAAAACCCAGGAACAAGAGCUCUGCCUGGCUCCAUCUCUCCUUGUUCUAUUUUGUUUUUAAACUUAGUUCAUUUCUUUAUCACUGCACCUGGGAAUUCAUCAUUCCUGCAUCUCCAGCCCCCUGCACACAGCGUAGGGGGAGAUUUCUACAGCCAAGGAGCCCCAGUACCCAAACUGUGGCUGCUGACAUGUGCAAGGGGGAAGUGAGACAUUUCCCACCUGUUCAGCUAGUUUGCAGCUUGGUGGGAUAUCCUAUUUUUAACUGUAGCUGCAGUUAAAGGAAUACAUUUGUGGAGUCAAACAUAAGGUAGCAACCAAAGGAAGUAGUUUUUAGCUGCAGAUCUGUCUGAUUCAGUACCUGGUGAACAUUUUCUUUAGCAUAAUGAUAUUUCUUAGGGUGCAUGAUAAAAACCUGCAGUAACCAACAGACACUGUUCUCAGUUUUCAGUCUCAUCAUUAGCAUUUUGCUCUCAUUAACCUGAGCAUGAUAAAUUGCUUAUAACACAGAUAUUUCUUUGCUGGGCAUUAGCAGGUCUGGUUGUGAGGAGAGAUGUGGAAUUUGGUUUACAGAGUUUUGCAUCAUAGAUAUUAACUGUGUGUGGCUCUGACACUGCAGGUCAGGCCAGUGUAAAUUAAGGAAAUGUUUCUAGACUUUAAUCUGAAUUGAGACCUAGGGAUUUAAAGAUAUUUAAACUGCUAGCCAGGUGUUUGCUUGGGCUAGGAAACAAUCAGCCUUGCUGUCUGCAGGUGGAGGGUCCUUCCACAGAGGUGGAAGCUGCUCUGGCUGUUGCAGGUAAGACUCUGCCCUCUCUUCUCUCCUUUCGUACAUUUUAGCACUUUUGCUCUGCCUGUGCCUUUUUGUCCACAUGUGCCAGCCCCCAUGGCUGCUGGCAUCCUGCUGGAGAGCUGCAGAGCCAGAGUCCAGCUGGGAUGCUCACUGGGAUGCCAGCCUUGGCUGGGAGCACUGGAGGGGCACACAGAGCACUUCAGCUGCCAGAAAAUUAGACUCAUUUGUUUGGAAAUCUGUCGUACACAAAGCACUUUAAUAACCACAUUCAUCUAAAGGCCACAUCAGGAGAAACAGUACUGCCUGUUCCCUCUUAGAUGCCAGUUUUGGGGAAUGCUGCUGCUAACAUUUAGCAGGAGCUCCAGGUCACCUUGAUACAAUUGAGCUAAGACACAUUUUAAUGGCUGUUUAAUUAGAUUUACCAUAGGGAAGGUGCCGUGGAAGAAGGCUGCAUUUCUGCUUCUAGUGCUGGUUUACACAAAAAUGCAGAUAAAAGACUGCAAGUGAUAGAUAAAGAUGAGGGGUUUUUGUACCCCUGUUCAAUAUAAUUUUUUACCUUCAUUUGAGUGAUGUGUCUGCUCUUUCUCUGCACUUUCAGGGCUGGAAAAUCUCACACCCCCGCAGACUGAUGCUGUUUUCUGCCUGCCACAAAAAUAAGGAGAGGGAUUACCUCAUUUCCACUGCCUCAGAAAUAAAUCCUCAUUAUGGAUUUGUA